AACGCACCUUGCGCUCUUUGGCUAUUCCGAAGAGCAUGCCUGUUUGAGUAUCAUGAACACCUCAACUCUCAUGGCUUUGCCGUGACGAGCUUGGACUUUGGGGGUCUUGCUGGCCUGCGGUCGGCUCCUCUCAAAAGAAUCAGCCUGCCAGUGUCUGGUGGCAUCACGGGUGUGAUAACUAUCUACGCUCGCCGUUGCCUGCCGGGUAACCUCCGGUCACGGGGUUCGCUGGGGCUCAUAAACGUCCGCGAGGACAGCUUUGUGAACGUUUGAUCUCAAAUCAGGUAGGACUACCCGCUGAACUUAA
This 307-nucleotide unclassified non-coding RNA is filed under the name uncultured fungus. RNAcentral's name for it is "partial contains 5.8S ribosomal RNA, internal transcribed spacer 2, and large subunit ribosomal RNA". Lineage: Eukaryota; Fungi. The record is from RNAcentral.